This 3940-nucleotide long non-coding RNA is filed under the name Nicotiana tabacum (common tobacco). RNAcentral's name for it is "long non-coding RNA (NTAB_LNC004555)". The record is from RNAcentral. Lineage: Eukaryota; Viridiplantae; Streptophyta; Magnoliopsida; Solanales; Solanaceae.
UAAGAUUUCUCAUUUAUUUUAAAAGAUUAGUCUCAAGUGUUGUGUUAAAGCGACGGAAAGCAGAUGAAUCUAAUUAUCUAGUUUGAUCUUUUAUCUAUGAGUCUUGAUUUGCCUAUGUUUCCUAAACAAACAAAAAUAUAAAACAAUAACCAAUAACAAGGUUUGUUUCGAUAGAUAUGUAUAUACAGAGUAAUGAACAAUAAUAUUUAUCGUCUAACAAUGAGAGGGAGGAAGGGAUGGACUCUCGAUAUUUGGGCCAGUAGGUAGUCAAGCCCAACAAAAUUCUCACAAGUAGCAGACUCCAAAGAGCAGGAAAAGAAAUGACCCAGGUCUGGAAGUUGGGCUUGAUCUUCAAAUGGUCUCAGCAGGCCCAAUUCAAAUAUGCAUGGUAAAAAGAAAGAGGGAACAAUUAGUAUACAUCAACAUAAGAAGCAAAAUAAAUUAUGGAAGGUAAGUAAAGAUCUGAAAAGACAUAGUAUGAUUCUAGUUUUCAUUUUUCUGCCAACCCUAUGAAGAUUAGUUAAGGUUAAUGAUCAAACGCUUAGGGUGAACCAUAUUUUAUUUAUGAAAUCUCCUAUGGACACCUUACACUUCAGAGUUCACAAGGGUCUCAAGGACCCCGAGCAGUGCUUGUUCCAGGGAGGAGUACCUCGAUAACAAAACAAGUUCACACCCAAAUACCCUUAGUCAUCCACUCUUACUAUUCCUCAAAGGCUUAGACAUAAAUGAAACUGUCAACUACUUGAAAUAAAUAGCUAUAGAGGACAUUACAUUAUCAUUAGAGUACCAAGAUAUGAACGGCUCAGAACCAUUCACAAUAUUAACCUUGGGGCAUGUUGGCAGAACACUAAUACAAAGAUAGAUCACUACAACUAAACUUCUAGUAUUCCAAUAAUAUCAGGGGCCUUAAGGCUGAUCCUAGCAUGCAUAAGAGAACUUAAGUGGAUCAUAACUAAGAUGCAGUCAUAGAACAAAGAGAACUAGUUGCAUAUUAUCAGUAGGUAGGUGCUAGAUUUAAUCACCUCAAAUUCAAAAAUGCCCUAACUUUGUUCAUUCUAUUAAAGGUUUAGUACUUUAGGAUCUUUAAAUAGAUUCAGAUUACUUAGAGCAAGUCAAUAGGUAUUUUAAUAGAUUUUCAGAACAGUUUAGAGCAAAUAUAUAUAUAUAUAACUGAGAUUCCACAUCACUAAGCACUUAUACUUGCAGCCUUGUUCAGACUUUCUAAGGAUGAGAGCAACCAACAGGGACACCAACAUGAAUAUAAAGAUUAGUUUAGUCUUUUUAGACCUAAUGACAUGAUGUCUUGUUGUAACAACACAUAGUCUAUCAGAUUUUCAAACUACCAGAUCCAAACUAUUUUAGAUUCUCAAUUAAGUUCUUCUAUAAACAGUGAUGUCAACAAACAUGAGAUGGCAAACAAUGACAGUCAUUUCAAUUUGCAAGGGGUAAGGCAAACAUAUCACAAUGAGUUUACUUGAACAUAUGAGUAGUUCUACUAGCAAGUUACACCAACAAACUUUCAUUUUAGAUCCUACAUGCAUAAUACAUGUUCAUCAAUAUUCAGUCAAGUUAUUGAGUUAUUGAGGCAGGCAGUACUCAAGUUGACAAGAGGAGUCUUCCUAAACAGUGUCUUGAGCAUUACAUGAUCUUGAGAGAACUAGAAAACAUAAAUGGCCAAAACAACAAGUAGAUAAUUAAUAUCAUUUUAGAUGAACAAAUAAGAUUAUAGUGAUACCUUAGGUCAACAUUUGUCAAGUAUUCACAAUUUAUGAGGCUAUCAUGAUAGACUACUUUCUUUUAGCUGAACAAAACCAACAUGAGGCCAAAUAUGGCUGUUAUAUAAAGUUUCCAACUUAGGCAGAUAGAUUAGCAUAAUAGGGUAGGCAUGCUGUUGGGAAGACCUUUUGAAUUACCAAGGAAUCACAUGCAAGUUGACGUAGUAGUUUGAACAUGGAACUUUCUCAACUAAAGGGAAUAUGGAGGUCCAUGAACAUCACUGGAUCAACAAAAAUCAAGCAAGUGAGUGUAGAUUCAAGCAUAGAGGUCAAACAUGAGUCAUUUAAUAAAUUUAGAAAUAUAAGUGAUAUACAGCUACAUCACAAAGCUCAGACAGGCUAUGGGAGUAUCAGAAGGUAAAAGUAUACAUUUCAGCAGGUAAAAGAAACAAGGUGAAGAAGGGUACGAGGUACCCAGUUAGUGAAGAUUAUCAAUGGGUAGUGGGCAGGCCAUGUGAUAGCUAUGCUAACAGGUUCACCACAUUAUUCCAUACUAGAAUGAUAUACUUUCAUGAAUUACUAAAUAUGCAGAACAAACAUGGUUUCAACUACAGGACUGUCAACCAAGGUCAUCAAGCAGACAAAUCAAAUGUAAGACAUAAACUAUAAUUAGAAUCACUUUUUAUUGAACCAAAACAAUAUGAAAUAGCAUCACAAACAUAAGGAUCAAUAUAGCAUAGUGCAAAAUAUGUAAAGUUUUAACAGAACAUCAAGAGGAGCUUAAAAACACAACUCAAUCGAUUUAGCUAACAUGUUAGUAUAGCUAUUAUUUAACUGACAUGGAUGGAACACACAUAGUAUAAACAUAAGGUUUAGCCCAACUAAUCAUAAGGUUCAACAGGAUUUGUUCAUAAGAGUAUCAACUACACAGAAAUAUUUUAUCUAGCCAAGUUAUGAGGGAUGAAAUUCAUUAGCAACAUAGAUUGGAUAGCAGUAUCAGAACAACCUAACUUAUCAGGAACUUAUCAUCUCAACAAUGAAAAUGGCAUGAAAAAAUAGAACAUAAUAAGUAUAGUCAUAUACCACUAAUGUAUAUCAUAAACGAAAGGUGAUUAACAGAAAAAAUAUCACAAAAUUUCACAAUUAAGAUAUAGAGACAGGGUCAACAUACACUGACCUUCUUUAGAGCAGCAAACCAAGUAGGAGUCGAUUAUUAACUAUUUUGGGAUCCAAACCAACAACGAUCCACUCACAGGGAUUGGACUCAAAUAGAAAUGAAAAGAUGAAAAGAGAAAUAUUAGAGGGGAACUACUGGAACUUAAACUUAGUAGGAAAAACUUAAACUUUUAAUUCUUUCAGUGUAUUUUCCAGUGAUGUUAGGUGUGUAUUGGUGUCUAUUGAUGUCUGUUUGGUGAAGACAUUGAAUUCCCUAUUAUAGCGACAUUCAAGCCACUUAGGAUUUCGAUUGAAUUCAAAAUGGUAGUGAAGAGUGAUGAUAGAUGGAUGACGAUAGCAAGGAGGGUAAAAAUCAGAAGAAAAGAGGGGGAAAUAGUGAAGAUUCUUAUCUGCGCAUGAGGAGGUCGACCGUUGAAGCCAUCGGACUGUCGGUCAAACCCUAAUGUCCAAAAGUCAGUGUGUUUGACCUCUGAACCUCGAAAAAUAAUGAUGAAGUUGAAGAUAAUGGUCAUGCAUGCUCCGAUUCGACGGAACAAAGGAAGGAUUAAUGGAAUCUUAGGUUGCAUAGUUUAGGUCUAGGGUUUCGGAUUUGGGGGUUUUGAAUUGUAGAGAUGAAGGGGAAAUUUCAGGCGGAAUUGAGGCAUUGCAGGGACAGAAGAGAUGAUUUAGGUGUUUGGAGUGACCUUGCACAAAUUUGUACAAGGUCUUGGAUUGAUGGGAUUGAUGGGAAUGAGAGAACAGAGAGAGUGAAUGGGGAAAUUAGGGCGGCCAGACGGUGAUAGAAUUAUUAGGGUUAGUGGUUCUUUUGGGUCUAAAGUGAGGGACAGGAUCUAAGCCGUUAGAUCUUUUGAUCAGCGGCUCCGAUUUUUCGGACAAUAGAAAUUAGAUAAAGGAUUUAUUAUGGAAAAACGACAGUUGUUGGAUCUUUGCAAUCCAACAGUUGAGAUGAGAUUCGGUGAAUGUUUGGAAAUAAAAGAAAAAUAGGGGUUAAUUAUGGACCGUUGAUGGAUUGGGUCAACAGUCGAGAUCUUUUGUGUUUCUUAUGUGAG